Lepus europaeus (European hare) is the source of this 1282-nucleotide long non-coding RNA. RefSeq lists it as uncharacterized. The record is from RefSeq and is a predicted model, not a curated record. The transcript has 3 exons. Lineage: Eukaryota; Metazoa; Chordata; Mammalia; Lagomorpha; Leporidae.
UGGAGACCGAGUUAAGGGCUCUCCAGACUGCGCUCAGAGCUUGAUGCUUCCAGGAGGCUAGUCAAGGGACAAAGGAAGCGCUUGCUGGGCGGCGGUAGAAGCCGCUCCUCUGCGCUGUUAACUUGCAAAGUUUUCCUAGAGUAGUCGCUCCCGUCGGCGGGGAGGAGCCUCGCUUCCCACCCGCCCUUUGUGUGCUAAGUGUGUGUUUCCGUCGUUGUCGCAGCCCUGGAGCUGGUCCGCUUGCGCUGCGGUAGCCUGGAAGGAACGGGUCUUAGGGCCGGGCCCUCGGUCUUUCUCAGCGAAGAUAAUAUCCACGACGGGCGCUCCGUGCAUCACGAGGCCGUUCCCGUGCGGACUCAACCACGCACAGUACAGUCUGCCCUGCCCCAGAUGGGCUGAGCCUAGGAAGUUUCGAGGAUGGGUAGAGCGCAGCGUGUAAUGUUUUUUUUGUUUUUUUUUUUUUCAGUCUCAAACAUAAACACGCUAAUAGCACAGUUCACAUGUUGUGUCAUGUGAAUUUUCUUUUUUGGCUUAAAUUUGGAUAACAGUGCUUGUGAGAUUUUUAACAUUGUUUUAAAACUGAUGUGAGAAAAUAGGGUGUCCUGUAGGUUUAUGGAAUGCAACAGGAACAAAUGAACCCACGGGACCAAAGAUCAGAGACCUGAAUAUGUAUCUUCAUCUCCAGUCCCAAGCCCUCAUCGGCUCAUCACCCCCAAUGUCAUUCCCCUUCCAGAAUGGGUAACUGUUCUGCCAGGAUGGAAAUAUAGGCCUAAGAGUAAAUUCAACUCUGUGGGAUAAACAUUUUCUCACAGGGCUAAGAUUGUUCCCAAUUGUCAUUCAGCCUCCUAAAAUACUUUCUCAAACAGCUGAUAGCAAUAGUAUGCAGAGCAAACUCAUGAGAAAGAAAAGGAUACACAAAGGUAUAAACACCUGCUUUGCAGGUCCUCCAACCCUGGGAAGUAGUAAAUUAUAUUUUAUAAAAAAAAAUUGGCAUUCGGGGCCAAAGAGGAUUUCUUUCAUUGUAAUCUUCCCUAGUAGACACAAUGCCCAUCACACCAGUUUAUUUCUCCACAAACCUGGAGUCUAAACAGAAAACACUCUCUACAGAACCCAAAUGGCAACUGCCCAAAAGAAGACCAGAAGGACGCUCUGAAUUGUGAAAAAGAUUGGCCCUUGUGAAGGCAGGGUCUCACUGACUGCUACUGCUCUGACACCUGCCAGAUCACCUUGUACACAGUGAAUACUCAACAUGUUGAAUAAACAAACAAACUGUAAAAUCACA